This 435-nucleotide ribosomal RNA is filed under the name uncultured bacterium. RNAcentral's name for it is "bacterial SSU rRNA". It matches the Rfam family "Bacterial small subunit ribosomal RNA", at positions 954 to 1392 of the family's 1533-position model. The record is from RNAcentral.
AUGGGAACGCGAAGAACCUUACCUAGACUUGACAUCUCCUGAAUAGUGUAGAGAUACAUGAAGCCCUUCGGGGCAGGAAGACAGGUGGUGCAUGGUUGUCGUCAGCUCGUGUCGUGAGAUGUUGGGUUAAGUCCCGCAACGAGCGCAACCCUUAUUACUAGUUGCUACCAUUAAGUUGAGCACUCUAGUGAGACUGCCCGGGUUAACCGGGAGGAAGGCGGGGAUGACGUCAAAUCAUCAUGCCCCUUAUGUCUAGGGCAGCACACGUGCUACAAUGGUGAGUACAGAUAGAUGCGAUACCGCAAGGUGGAGCCAAACUCUAAAACUCAUCCCAGUUCGGAUUGUAGGCUGCAACUCGCCUACAUGAAGUUGGAGUUGCUAGUAAUCGCGAAUCAGAAUGUCGCGGUGAAUACGUUCCCGGGUCUGUACACACCG